Molecule: long non-coding RNA, 1213 nt
Filed under: Anser brachyrhynchus (Pink-footed goose)
Lineage: Eukaryota; Metazoa; Chordata; Aves; Anseriformes; Anatidae
Description: lncRNA (ENSABRG00000012694.1)
Source: RNAcentral
AUGAAGGCAGGCCACCAGGCUGAUGGGCAGACACUUCAGACUGAAGUACAGACGGCAGUACCACUAAGAAGAAAUGGUGACCGAGCUGUGCAAGUGAACCAGGACAAUCCAAAAAAUUCAGAAGGCGUCUGUGAGCGGCCGGGCAGGACUAGCACAGGAGAGGUGCUUCUGGUACCUGCUGCCUCUCGCCUGGGGCUUGUGCCAGCAAGGAGCCGAGGUGCCGGCUUCACAUCACACCUGGGCUCGAUUUCGGAUGCUUCUCCUGGCAACGCAGGGGAUACGCAUUAUCUUCAUCUUACCUGGAAACCUAAGAGGAAUUUUAUGGCCCUUGAAAGCGGGAUGAGUGCUGUUUGUCUCGUGGUUUUACAGCCUGGUGUAAACAGAGCACUGCUCCAGCCUGGAAAUGCAGGUGAAUAUAUUCCCCAGCAAACUCCCAACGCAAUUCCUUCCUUGCAAAAAGUGCUGAUGGCACACGGGCCAUUAGGGAAAUCUGUAAGGAGUCUCUGAAGUGUGAUACAAUGAUUAAUAGGACAGUCAGCAAGCGGCUGUGAUACGGUGAUGAAUGGCAGAAUCAGCACGCCACUGUAACAGUUCUAAUGCAGGUUUGUGGUGUGUUGCAGUACCUCAGACACAAUCCUGUUUGUUCCUUAGUCUAACCAUUCAGUGCUGUGCAUCAGUUUUGUUUCCUCUCUGUGUUACUAUCCUUAUGAUUACUUCCAGAAUUCCUUCAAUUACUUAUUUUUUCCCCAAACAUAAGCUCUAAUUCAGGAUGUUACCAAUUUUACACCAAAAUACAAAGGUAACGCAGCAGAAAUGUAUUUUAAGCUUCACAUCAGAGUUCAGCAGUGUCCAUGCAGCGUGCACUCUUCUGGAACAGGCAGUACUGAGCUGGUUUUGAAUAUUUUUAAAAGCACGUAGAUGCCCAGCUUUGUGUCUCUGUGCUGGAUUUUUGCCCUUGGGUGUGGAACCUGCUGUCUGGGCCGGAGUUAGGAAAUGCUCCCUACAUCUGCUGUGAGCAAGUGUUGGGUGUAGGACGGCUCAGUCUCACCACAGUAGGAAUGGGACUUCCAACCGAGACUGGGGGAAAGCUUUGGGGAUUACGAGGAUGGCAGGGCUGUGAUGUAAUCCCCAUUAUUUCGGGAAUCAAACCACUUUCAGGGCACCUCGCUUGUGAUGUGUUAGAGCAGCGUCUGGGCACCAGUAAUUCUGAUGG